UACGUAGGAGGCAAGCGUUGUCCGGAAUUACUGGGCGUAAAGCGCGUGUAGGUGGUGGGACAAGUCUGCUGUGAAAGCGCCUGGCUUAACCGGGCGAGGUCGGCGGAAACUGUCCGACUAGAGGACGGUAGAGGGGGGUGGAAUUCCCGGUGUAGUGGUGAAAUGCGUAGAGAUCGGGAGGAACACCUGUGGCGAAGGCGGCCCCCUGGGCCGGCCCUGACACUGAGGCGCGAAAGCGUGGGGAGCAAACAGG
RNAcentral lists this ribosomal RNA (253 nucleotides) under uncultured bacterium. Its description in RNAcentral is "partial 16S ribosomal RNA". It matches the Rfam family "Bacterial small subunit ribosomal RNA", at positions 524 to 776 of the family's 1533-position model. The record is from RNAcentral.